Small nucleolar RNA from Prunus persica (peach), 90 nucleotides. It matches the Rfam family "Small nucleolar RNA SNORD24". Rfam says of the family: U24 is a member of the C/D class of snoRNA which contain the C (UGAUGA) and D (CUGA) box motifs. C/D box snoRNAs have been shown to act as methylation guides for a number of RNA targets. Lineage: Eukaryota; Viridiplantae; Streptophyta; Magnoliopsida; Rosales; Rosaceae. The record is from Rfam.
GGCCGUUGAUGUAGAUCAAUAUUUGCUACUCUUGAUGGGAUCCUCAAUGAUCCCAUCUGAUGAUUCUUAUCCACCAAGAUCUCUGAGGCC